This 184-nucleotide ribosomal RNA is filed under the name uncultured freshwater bacterium. RNAcentral's name for it is "partial 16S ribosomal RNA". It matches the Rfam family "Bacterial small subunit ribosomal RNA", at positions 346 to 524 of the family's 1533-position model. The record is from RNAcentral.
AUGGAACAGUGGGGAUUGUGGACAUGGGCGCAAGCCUGAUCCAGCAAUGCCGCGUGCAGGAUGAAGGCCUUCGGGUUGUAAACUGCUUUUGUACGGAACGAAACGGUGAGCUCUAAUACAGUUUGCUAAUGACGGUACCGUAAGAAUAAGCACCGGCUAACUACGUGCCAGCAGCCGCGGUAAU